UGGGCAUCAAGCAGCACGUGAGCCUGACUGCCAACGGCCACCCCUCACAGCACCGCCACCACAACAACAAACAGCGAUCACGUGACGUCAGCAGCGAGAUGCUGGCCCUUGACCCCAAUCCCUUCUCUCGGUUCCUAACUUGUCGACAAAUUUCGUAGGAUCUGUGUGAAGGUCGAGUGAGCCAGGCAAGGAAGUAUGUCAGAAACGAGGUUUUGCUCGUAAUGUGUUUAUAGUAAGGUAUUUAUCAUCAGAACUUCACUUUCGCUAGCGGUCAGUCUGACUUGACUCGUCUGGGGGUUCGUUGGUCAUCGCCGAAUCAUCCUCUCCGAUUUCAUAUAGCAGUAGCAGUAGAAGACUAGAGCUUGAGCUAGAAGAGGGAAAGGAUUUAAACGGAUUUAUCUCUAACCAAAGUUUCUUGCUUAUUGCCAGGAGAAUGCUGAGGGGUUGGUUCGAUGCGUUCCGAAGCGACGGAGGCCCCACUCUCUACACAUUCGCCAACAGGACCCCCGUCACAGAAGAUGUCCGGAACGUUCUCAUCUACGUGUCGUUCUCCACCAUCUUCGUCGCCUUUCUCAUUGUUUUCCCAGGAAUUCGGAAAGAGAAAUUUUCAACAUUCAUCAGUGUCACGAUUAGUUUAUUUGUAGGAGCUGUCAUUCUCAGUAAGUA
Long non-coding RNA from Stegodyphus dumicola, 666 nucleotides. The record is from RefSeq and is a predicted model, not a curated record. Lineage: Eukaryota; Metazoa; Arthropoda; Arachnida; Araneae; Eresidae.